This 209-nucleotide long non-coding RNA is filed under the name Brassica napus (rape). Its description in RNAcentral is "long non-coding RNA (BNAP_LNC021528)". Lineage: Eukaryota; Viridiplantae; Streptophyta; Magnoliopsida; Brassicales; Brassicaceae. The record is from RNAcentral.
UUUUUUUUUUAAAUACGAACCCUAAACCCUAAACCAUCAAUCCUUAACCCUAAACCAUAAACCCUAAACCCUGAAACAUCAACUCUAAACCCUAAACCCCAAAACAUCAACUCUAAACCCUAAACCCUAAACCCUAAACCAUCAACUAUAAACCCUAAAACAUUAACUCUAAACCCUAAACCCUAAACUUCAACUCUAAACCCUAAACC